CCCAUAUGGAUACCAGGAGAUCACUGUCCCUGGGCUCUGUCCUAGUGGUAUAAAGGAGCACAGUGCUCUGUCCCAUGAUGUACAGUCCCUUUCCAGAAUGUUGGGGAUGAAGCUGGGAGUCUGCACCUGCGUGUUCUUACAACUCAAAGUCUUGUGGACAAUGACUGAGGAGACAAACCAUCCAGGAAACAGUC
Nannospalax galili (Upper Galilee mountains blind mole rat) is the source of this 194-nucleotide small nucleolar RNA. Its record names the gene SNORA73. It matches the Rfam family "Small nucleolar RNA SNORA73 family". From Rfam's summary of the family: U17 (SNORA73A and SNORA73B) also known as E1 belongs to the H/ACA class of small nucleolar RNAs (snoRNAs). Vertebrate U17 is intron-encoded and ranges in length from 200-230 nucleotides, longer than most snoRNAs. Lineage: Eukaryota; Metazoa; Chordata; Mammalia; Rodentia; Spalacidae. The record is from Ensembl.